Molecule: non-coding RNA, 99 nt
Organism: Acanthosepion pharaonis
Lineage: Eukaryota; Metazoa; Mollusca; Cephalopoda; Sepiida; Sepiidae
Source: the annotation of a GenBank genome assembly
GUUGAAGAACUGGUUCUCGUACGAUUUUUGAAGUUAAGCAACGUUGAGCUUGGUCAGUACCUAGAUGGGUGACCGUUUAGGAAUAUCAGGUGCUGUAAG